Molecule: unclassified non-coding RNA, 328 nt
Filed under: soil metagenome
Description: partial contains 5.8S ribosomal RNA, internal transcribed spacer 2, and large subunit ribosomal RNA
Rfam family: 5.8S ribosomal RNA (bases 1-120)
Source: RNAcentral
GAUGAAGAACGCAGCGAAAUGCGAUAAGUAAUGUGAAUUGCAGAGUUCAGUGAAUCAUCGAAUCUUUGAACGCACAUUGCGCCCCCUGGUAUUCCGGGGGGCAUGCCUGUCCGAGCGUCAUUACAACCCUCAAGCUCAGCUUGGUGUUGGGCCCCGCCGCCCCGGCGGGCCCUAAAGUCAGUGGCGGUGCCGUCCGGCUCCGAGCGUAGUAAUUCUUCUCGCUCUGGAGGUCCGGUCGUGUGCUUGCCAGCAACCCCCAAUUUUUUUCAGGUUGACCUCGGAUCAGGUAGGGAUACCCGCUGAACUUAAGCAUAUCAAAAGCGGAGGA